UCUGGUUCAAGCUAAAUGUAUUUUGUAAUAGUAGUUGUUAGUAAUUUCUAAAGUAAUAAAUUUUAAGUUUGUGUUUGCUAAGCGGCAAAAUGUCAUACGUCCACUGUUGUCACAUCAGUGGUGUAAUGUUUUGUGUUAAGUAAAUAGUUUCUGGAACUUGGAAACCAAGAUUAAGUGGUCGUCUUUUUGUUUUUUUUUCAAAAUGUGUGAGAACUGCACUAUUUCAGGAUUAGCUAGGUUAUCUAUAUGGUGAGUCAAUAAUCAAGGUUAUAACAGGCUGGCACUAGAAGAAGAUUUGGAACCAGAUGCUUGCUGUGAAAAAUACGUGGGUCCUGUUUAGUUUAACUAUAAACUCUGAGAAGAAUAUAAAAGUGAUACUGUGAUGUAACCAUGGAAGAAUUAAAGGUGAAGGUUGAACCCAUUUCUGAUGAAGAACAUGAUGCUUUGUUAGAUACCAAAUUGGUGAAAAAUGAAGAAGAAGAAACAUUUACAUUACCUAGAUGUAAGUAUAUACAGUAUUGGAAAUAUUUUUGAAAUAUCCCUGAAAUCCAAGCACUUCGAAAUAGUUAUCUAUUCUUCUUCAGAAGUAAAGAAUCCUUUUUGGUUUUGAAAAAUAACAUUCAAGUACUUGAAAAUGUUUGAGAUUCUGGGAAUAUGUUUGAGAAUAUGUUUUGGAAUUUACUUGGUGUUUUUGAUGAUCCUUUAUACUAAUCCUUUCA
RNAcentral lists this unclassified non-coding RNA (719 nucleotides) under Limulus polyphemus (Atlantic horseshoe crab). RNAcentral's name for it is "zinc finger protein 271-like, transcript variant X4". The record is from RNAcentral. Lineage: Eukaryota; Metazoa; Arthropoda; Merostomata; Xiphosura; Limulidae.